Molecule: ribosomal RNA, 279 nt
Filed under: uncultured bacterium
Lineage: Bacteria
Description: partial 16S ribosomal RNA
Rfam family: Bacterial small subunit ribosomal RNA
Source: RNAcentral
UGCCAGCCGCCGCGGUAAUACAGAGGGUGCAAGCGUUAAUCGGAAUUACUGGGCGUAAAGGGUGCGUAGGUGGUAUGUUAAGUCAGAUGUGAAAGCCCCGGGCUCAACCUGGGAACUGCACCUGAUACUGCCAGUCUUGAGUACAGUAGAGGGCAGUGGAAUUUCCUGUGUAGCGGUGAAAUGCGUAGAUAUAGGAAGGAACACCAGUGGCGAAGGCGACUGCCUGGACCGAUACUGACGCUGAGACGCGAAAGCGUGGGGAGCAAACAGGAUUAGAUA